This 3974-nucleotide long non-coding RNA is filed under the name Marmota monax (woodchuck). The record is from RNAcentral. Lineage: Eukaryota; Metazoa; Chordata; Mammalia; Rodentia; Sciuridae.
CUUAAUUAUUAUUCUAAAAUCAUAGGGCUGGGGAUGUUGCCUAGCAUGUUCAAGUCUCUGUUUGAUCCCCAGCACUACAAUAACUAAAGUUCAUUCUGUUAAAGUAAAAACAGAGUAGAGCCUCUACAAGCUACAUUUUGUGUUUAUUUAAACUAUAAGAAACUUAACUUGAGUGAGCUAGAAUUAGCCCAAGAAAAUGUGUCUUUAAACUCAGGAAAUAUAAAAACAAUUUUGUAGAUGUGUCUAGACAUAGAUUGCUCUGAAGAUUUGUCUGUAAAUCAAGAAGAUGACAUUGACCCAAUAAUGUCACUUAAUGCAGUCAUCUUUGUUUUUACUACAUUGUGUUUCCAGGAGGAAUUUAAGCCUGAUAUAGGUGGCCUAUUGCAUCCUGAUGCAUUUAGAAUCUAGUCACAAAUGUUAAGCUUUAUGUAAGAAGUGAGCAGGAAAUGUGAUAAAGGUAUUGUGAAUUAUGAAAGCUCUAGUCCUAACAAUUUUGUAGUUUUCAAAUACAGCUUGAGGAGAAUCUUUCCAAAUUGAAAAAUCAUUAAAUACAAUAACAUAAAUAGGGAUUGGUUAUGGUUUGGAUGUAAAAUGUUCCCUAAAGACCCAUAGGCUAAAGGCUUUGUCACCAACUUAUUGUGCUAUUGGGAGUUGCUUAAACCUUUAGGAAGUAGAGCCUGGUAGAAGGAAGUUAGGUUAUUGAGAGCAUGCACUUGAAGAGGAUAUUGAGAUCCUAACCCCUUUCCCUCUCUCUCUUUGCUUUUUGAUCAUCAUGAGGUGAGAAGCUUUGAUCCAGCAUGUCUUCUCCUCCAUAAUGUUCUGCCCUGCCACAAGCCCAAAGCAAUGGGGUGAAAGGACCAUGCUCUAAAAUCUUUGAAACUGCAAGGCACAAUAAAAUUUUCUUCCUUUAUUUGUGUUACUGAGGAUUGCACCCAUGCCCUCACAAAUGAUAGACAAGCACUUCUACCACUGACAUACAUCCCCCGAACCCCUCUCCUUUCAAAUUUUGAGAUAGGAUCUUGCUAAGUUGCCCAUGCUGGCCUUGAACUUGUGAUUUUCUUGCUUCAGCAUUUCAAGUAGCUGGUAUUACAGGCAUGCAUCACUGUGUCUGGCUUUCCACCUUAUAAGUUGGUUAUCUCAGGUAUUUUUUUUUCAAGUAAUGGAAAGCUGACUAACACAGGGUGUUCCCCAAAAUGAGAGAUGUUAAAAAGCCAUUUAAGGAAAAGCUAUAACUUGAAACUACCUGAAGAUGCCCAAGGCCCAAGAUUCUGGUUCAGUAAGCUGAAGGGAUGAAAGGAACAAAUCUGGAGAGAGAGAGAAUAUCAAGUAGGAUAAUGAGUUUCCUUGGUAUCCCCUAAGCAGCACUGCCAUCUGGUGGUGAUUUAAUAAAUCACAUUCUUCUUCCUCCCCGAUCCUGUCCUAAGGUGUGGCCUAGCACUCCAGAAUAUACUGAGAAAGCCAGGUGAAACAUUAUUAGUUUUUUGUGGCUACCUUAACAAAUUACUACAAACAUGGAGACUUAAAGCAACAGAAAUUUAUUAUCUUACAGUUCUAAAGACCAGAAGUACAAAAUUAAGGUGUUGGCAGGUCUGUGUGGCCUUUGGAGGGUCCAAGGGAGGAACUGUGCCUUGCCUAAUCCAGCUUUGGGUGGCUGCUGACAUUUCUAAGCUUGUGGCCAGAUGACUCCAAUCUCUGCCACCAUCUUCAUAUGGCCUUCUUAUCUUCUGUGUGUCCAAUAUUCAUCCUUCUCCUCCUUCUCUCUCUCUCUCUCUCUCUCUCUCUCUCUCUCUCUCUCUCUCUCGUACCAGGGAUUGAACUCAAGAACACUUAACCACUGAACCACAUUCCCAGACCUUUUUUUCAUGCUUUAUUUAGAGACAGGGUCUUGCUGAGUUGCUUAGGGCCUCACUAAGUUGCUGAGGCUGGCUUUGAAUUUGUGAUCCUCCUGCCUCAGCCUCCUGAGCUGCUGGAUUUUCUCUUACAAGGACACUAGUUUUGGUGAUAAUGGAGAUAAGAAGGAAAAGAAAAAAAUGGGAGAAAGCACUCUCAAGUAAGACAGUGGGUCCUCUCAGAGAGGAGAGCAAAGACUCACUUAUUCAUGUCCCCAUUUUUAUUGGGUUAAGAGGGAGAGUGUUAGAAAGUCCUGCCCAAGUAUCACCUCUUGGCUCUGAUUUGACAGACUACAUUAGCUAAAAACCUAAGGGCUACUCUUAGUUAUCUUGGCCUUGCUGACAGGUCCCAGUUGGAACUGGUUUCACAGAAUUUAUGGUUCAUGGGCUCCAGUCUUAAUCAUCUUGUUUACCUAGGUCUGAGAAUCUCUUGUCUGUUGCUUGUAUAGAGUCUUGCUUAAGAUGUUUUAGCAAUUAGGCCUUUUUUGAGCAAAUGUAUCUUUGCCCUUUGGUUCUUACCUUCUGAAUUUAUCUAUCUUCCUUCUGUUGUAAGAGGAGUAGUUUAUAGGGCUGAGAUCAGGCAAGGGUGCCGCAGUCUGGCUGGGCAUAAUUCAGGAGGCACUUGUCAAAAGAAGCAAACUUUAUUUUUAGAACACACACACCACACCACACAGCUCCUCAGGAAAAACCUUCAGAGCCCAACUGCCACCACCGGCUUCCCACAAGCCUCUCAACCUCCCCCACUCCUCCUGCUCUUGAGGCCGAUUGGCUGGGUCGCGUGGGCGGAGCCAAAAAAGUCCCCCAAUGAGCAGCUCUGUGGUCUGAAAGGGCAGGGAAACAGCCCAAUGAGCAUCACCGCAGAGGAGCCAAUCAGUUGGCAGCUAGAAGUUUGCUGGGGCCGCUGUGAGCCAAUCAUCAGCUGGCAGCUGGAAGUUUGCUGGCAGCUGGAGGUUUGCUGGGGCCCCUUUUGGCUGUGGCUCUCAACAUCAGGGUCCUGAAAUAGCUAUUUUAUCAGACCUCAUGGUGCCACUGAGGCAGGGCUGUUCUUUAACUGAUUUGUUCUGUCUGUGCUAAGUGUUUUCUUAAACUCCUCUUUGCUACCUAACCAUCUGUUAUGGUUUGGAUCUGGGAUAUCCUUCAAAGUUUCAUGUAUUCAGAGGUGGGGCAUUUGGGAAGUGAUUGGACGAUGAAAGCUCUGACCUCAUCAGUGUAUUAAUCCAUGGAUGGCUGAAUGGACUAGUGGGAGGUCUGUAGACCACCACCCCUUCCUGGAUGGCAUUUGUGCCUGACUCACCUCAGGCCCAGAGUAAUAGAAUUGGCUGACCAUGGACUGGGUCCUCCGAAAAUGUGAGCACAAAUAAACUUUUCUUCCUCCUUUAUGUCAGGUUAUUUUGUCAGGUAUUUUGGUCACAGUGACACAAACCUGACUAAUAUAGUCUAUUCAGAAAAUUCAGAUUUUUGACUGUGAUAAGAUACUUAAUCAACAUUUGCAAAGAUCCUUUUUCCAAAGAGGGUGAUAUUCAUUAGUACCAGAAAUUUGAUGUAGAUAUCUUCUGGGACCUAUUAUUCUCUCUGUUCUUUAUUAUCCUUUAAUUGUUGGUCAUUAGCAUUUGAUUGGAUUGCCAACCAGUGUAGACUGAAUGGAUAGGAUACAGGAUGUUGAGUUUUGAAACUGGGUGUGAGAGUGUGAUAGGGAAGGAAAGUCUACAGAGUAUCAACUUUUUUUAGGGAUGGCUGGUUAGGGUGGGGUAGUACAGUAGGAGACCCUGGGAAGUCAUGAGGCAACACAGAGGACCCUGGGGACAUGGAGGGGAGGAGAGGAAAGGGCAAGAAAGAGGUGGGAAGCCAAGAUAAACUUUUGCCUAUUUAAAAAACUAAAUGUGAAUGCUCUUCAACCUCAAAACCCUUUAUGAAAAUAAGAAAAUAAGGAAAUGUGCACUCUCAAACAUUCCUAGCAAGACUGGGAGUUGAGAGUGCACAAUUAUAUAUGAAGAACAAUUCUUCAUAUAUAUCAUACACUUGUAUUCAGUAAUUCUACCUCUGGAAAUCUAUUUUUAAGGAAUAAUUCAAAUACAGAAAGUUUCA